RNAcentral lists this ribosomal RNA (396 nucleotides) under Theileria ovis. RNAcentral's name for it is "SSU rRNA". It matches the Rfam family "Eukaryotic small subunit ribosomal RNA", at positions 453 to 885 of the family's 1831-position model. The record is from RNAcentral. Lineage: Eukaryota; Apicomplexa; Aconoidasida; Piroplasmida; Theileriidae.
GACACAGGGAGGUAGUGACAAGAAAUAACAAUACGGGGCUUAAUGUCUUGUAAUUGGAAUGAUGGGAAUUUAAACCUCUUCCAGAGUAUCAAUUGGAGGGCAAGUCUGGUGCCAGCAGCCGCGGUAAUUCCAGCUCCAAUAGCGUAUAUUAAAAUUGUUGCAGUUAAAAAGCUCGUAGUUGAAUUUCUGCUGCAUUGCUUUUGCUCCUUUAUGAGUCUUUGCAUUGUGGCUUAUUUCGGACUUUGUUUUACAAUGUCCGGAUGUUUACUUUGAGAAAAUUAGAGUGCUCAAAGCAGGCUUUCGCCUUGAAUAGUUUAGCAUGGAAUAAUAAAGUAGGACUUUGGUUCUAUUUUGUUGGUUUUAGGUACCAAAGUAAUGGUUAAUAGGAACAGUUGG